UCUGUUUUCACUAAGGUUAUAGCAUCGCAUUUGUAAUGCGAUGGUCAUUGGUUCGAUUCCGAUAGCUAGCU
RNAcentral lists this transfer RNA (71 nucleotides) under Olea europaea subsp. europaea. It matches the Rfam family "tRNA". Rfam says of the family: Transfer RNA (tRNA) molecules are approximately 80 nucleotides in length. Their secondary structure includes four short double-helical elements and three loops (D, anti-codon, and T loops). Lineage: Eukaryota; Viridiplantae; Streptophyta; Magnoliopsida; Lamiales; Oleaceae. The record is from Rfam by way of RNAcentral.